CAAAGUGUAGUCUAAUUAAAACACCUCGCUUACACCGAGAAAAAAUCUGUUAAACCCAGAUCAUUUUGA
This 69-nucleotide transfer RNA is filed under the name Bokermannohyla astartea (Paranapiacaba treefrog). RNAcentral's name for it is "tRNA-Val". It matches the Rfam family "tRNA". From Rfam's summary of the family: Transfer RNA (tRNA) molecules are approximately 80 nucleotides in length. Their secondary structure includes four short double-helical elements and three loops (D, anti-codon, and T loops). Further hydrogen bonds mediate the characteristic L-shaped molecular structure. tRNAs have two regions of fundamental functional importance: the anti-codon, which is responsible for specific mRNA codon recognition, and the 3' end, to which the tRNAs corresponding amino acid is attached (by aminoacyl-tRNA synthetases). tRNAs cope with the degeneracy of the genetic code in two manners: having more than one tRNA (with a specific anti-codon) for a particular amino acid; and 'wobble' base-pairing, i.e. permitting non-standard base-pairing at the 3rd anti-codon position. RNAcentral also lists the same sequence under 1 other name. Lineage: Eukaryota; Metazoa; Chordata; Amphibia; Anura; Hylidae. The record is from RNAcentral.